CACAGCUACAGCCUCCUGUUUCUACAGUAUACUGUAGCUAACACAGCUACAGCCUCCUGUUUCUACAGUAUACUGUAGCUAACACAGCUACAGCCUCCUGUUUCUAGAGUACCCACGUCCAUUCAGCUACAGCCUCCUGUAUUCUACAGUACCCACGUCCAUUCAGCUACAGCCUCCUGUAUUCUAGAUACCCACGUCCAUUCAGCUACAGCCUCCUGUUUCUACAGUACCCACGUCCAUUCAGCUACAGCCUCCUGUAUUCUACCGAGGGUCGAGUGUCUGUCUGUUUUUGUUUUUCCCCAAUUCAAUUAAAACCUAGACAACCAGAUGAAGGGAGAUCCUAAUUAAUUAGUGACCUUAAUUCCUCCAGCAAGAACGAGGGUUGGAGCGAAAACCUGCAGACACUCUGUCCUCCGUGCAAUGAGUUCGUGGUCUGUUUGCUACUGUGUGAAAUCCUGCAAUGUGGCUUUGCUUGAAUUCCUCCCCGUUUCUCCAUCCCUCAAAAGAUGGCAGACUUUUUAAAAACUCUGUAUGAAUACUGUCAGAGCCGUAGUCUAGCCGGUGUAUGGCUUAUGAACCUCUCUCUAUAACACGGGCUGAAUACUGUCAGAGCCGUAGUCUAGCCGGUGUAUGGCUUAUGAACCUCUCUCUAUAACACGGGCUGAAUACUGUCAGAGCCGUAGUCUAGCCGGUGUAUGGCUUAUGAACCUCUCUCUAUAACACGGGCUGAAUACUGUCAGAGCCGUAGUCUAGCCGGUGUAUGGCUUAUGAACCUCUCUCUAUAACACGGGCAUAGGCCUGUAAUAUAUUCAGACGCUGCAUUUCAUUUAAUACAACAUGUUGACUUUAAAAAUAAUAAAAAGAAGAAGAAGAAAAUGUAUUUUUUCCAGAAAAGUAUUUUUAGUUUUGUUACCUUUUCCACCUGCGGUAAACGUCGAUUCACACAUACAUGUCCAAACACACGUGUCCAUCCAUACGUACACAGUCCAGUUAACCUCCAGGGGUCUUUCUGUGUUGUGUAUAGAGGGACCUCCUUUAUAGAUCCCUUCUGUCUCCUUCCCCGAUGACGAGCUGUGCUGUUUGGAGAGAGGGCUCCACCUAGAGGCCAAGUGGAGGAAUGACCCCGGGAGUCAGAGGCAAGAGGACACAAACUGUACUCUCUCUCACCAAAGUGUCUCGGAUUGCAAAAUUCCCAGUAGCUCUCAAUGAUACUAUGUUAUGGGAGAGAACAAUAAACGAUGUAGACAGGAUUAGAUUAGACCAGGUUACCCUCCUCUGUUUUAUGGCUUAGAAUGUGCCUAACUGUAACUUAGAGACCCCAACUUCCUGUUUUAACGUUGACAUGUGAAAUGUGAUGCUAGGAGGAACGUUUUCCCGGACACAGAUUAAAGCCCACUUCGUCCUCCUUCUCCAUUGAACGUGUCUCGUAGUCCGGGAUUAUAGGCUUAAUCUGUGUUGGGGAAACGGGUCCUGUGACAACCGUGUAUGUGUGUGUUUUCCCCAUUUCCUGUCCUGUCCUCACAGACCGACUGCCUCUUCUUUAACUACUGAUCAGCUGUCUGUUUUUAGACCCGGAUCACUAGAUCAUCUCCCACUGUCGUCCAUUCAAAAGGUACAUCGAUUCCCUCAUUUACAUACCUAGUGGUGACCUGGUACACAGCCUCUUCCGCUGUGGGCUGCCUAUAACAUACAUACAUACAUACACACACACACACACUGGUGACCUGGUACACAGCCUCUUCCGCUGUGGGCUGCCUAUAACAUACAUACAUACAUACACAUACAUACAGACAGACAC
Molecule: long non-coding RNA, 1798 nt
Organism: Oncorhynchus tshawytscha (Chinook salmon)
Lineage: Eukaryota; Metazoa; Chordata; Actinopteri; Salmoniformes; Salmonidae
Source: Ensembl